Long non-coding RNA from Carassius gibelio (silver crucian carp), 1923 nucleotides. RefSeq lists it as uncharacterized. The record is from RefSeq and is a predicted model, not a curated record. Lineage: Eukaryota; Metazoa; Chordata; Actinopteri; Cypriniformes; Cyprinidae. The transcript is spliced from 2 exons.
UGUGAAUUGCUUAUUAGCUUUCAUUCCCUCAGCUUUCAUUAUCUUUGAUUUAUAUGCAGUCCUUAACAUUUUUGUUAAGCCUCAGUCUAAUGUCUAUUAGAUACUGAUUCUGUCGCUGAUUUGUGUUUUUUCAGAAACUCAGCAUUCAUAUAGAUGAGAAUGCCCUCCAUGAGAUCCUCAACGAGGUGGACCUCAACAAAAACGGACAGGUGGAACUGGAUGAGUUCUUACAGCUCAUGUGUGCGGUCCAGAGAGGCCAAAUCUCUGACAGUCGUCUGGCUAUCUUGAUGAAGACGGCCGAGGAGGGCUUGGAUCUGAGAGGACCUGUCUCAGUUGACCGCAGUGGAGGCGGCGUUUGAAUCCCAACUACAAACCAGAACAUUCACCAGACAACAGCUCUCACCACAAAGUUGGAUAAACAGCAAAAAGUGCUGUGCCCACGCUGGUCAGAUCACAAGCACAUCCUCUCCAGCUGGCUGCCUUUGACUACAAUCUUUGUUUUUGUUUUGCUUUAACAUGCUUAUUUACAUUUAUUUCAAUUAAAAAAGAUAUUAGAGCAGAGUAUAUUCUUUAUAAAUAUUUCAAAGCAUACUGUUCUAGAAUCUUUAUUGUUUAUCUAAUGCAUGCAGUGCCAUGUGACCUGGUAAGCACGAAUAUAUUGAUUCUCUGAGCAGCUUUAUCCAGUGAGCUUUCUGUUGUGCCAUUUUUUUAAUGUAGAUUAUUUGCUGCUGAACACAAUGAGGUGAUAUUUAAGGGCUCCUGGUGUCUUCUGAGAUAAAUAAUGCACUAUAUAUGAAUUUCACAGAUUUACACUGCACUGCAUACUGCUUCAUUGUAACUGUUCUAAACUACAUUAAUGUGUUUUUGUGUUGUUGUUGUAUCUUAAUAAUUUCAAAUGUAUACAAAAUCUAUAAUUUCCCUCAUACUCUCUUGUUUUUAAUUAAUGUGAUGUGAUUAAGUAUACAGUUGUAUUACUGUAUACAGAUCAGUUAUAUUAUAAUGAAAUGUAAGGGCUCUUGUUUGAAUGUUGAACAUUUUAUACCUUAUUCAAAUUCAUGAACAAUUGGAACUCCACUUUAAUAUGUUUCCUAUACAGUCUUGCCUGUAAAAGUAAUUGAUUAUUAAUUUGUCAUGAAAUAAUAAGGGAAUAUUAUAACUGUACAUUUUUAUGUAGAGCACAGCAGGGAAUGUACUUAAUGUGCCUUGCUUCUUAAAGGGAUAGUUCACCCCAAAAUUACAAUUCUGUCAUUUACUAACCCUCAUGUAGUUCCAAACUUUCUAUGACUUACAGAUCGUAAAAGAAGAUAUUUUAAAGAAUGGUGGCAAUCAAACUAGUUUUAGUUACCAUUGACUUCCAUCAUAUGGAAAACUGAAAAGAAGCACUGAAACAUGUCUUUAAAUGUCUUCUUUUAUGUUCUACAGUUUAAAUUUUUGGGGGAACUUUAACUUUAAAAAGACACUUAAUUAACUUUGCAUGUCGAAACGCACAGUUAGACACACUAAAAGAGUGUAAUCUUUUACUUGACUACUUAUUUUUGUGGUUUAACUUUAAGGAUACUUAAACCUUGAUGGUUUAAGAGAAAUGUGUUUUGUACAAUGAGAUUGCUCAGAAUUCAUAAUCUGUUUUGGUUUGUUAUUAUCAUGCAAUGACCUUGUUAGGGAUAUCAUGAUAUAUUUGGGUUUUUUUACGCUAAAAAAGACCAUAGAGAUUGUCAUAAAUCUUGGAGGAUCAGUGUUGAUUGACAGGUUUGAAAAAGAUGGAGAAUUAGAAGCAGUUUAACUAAUUUAAUGUUUUUCCUGACGGGAUGUAAUUCAGCUCGAUACUAAUUGAAAAAAAAGAAUCUAAUUUUAUGAUAAAAAUGUAUAAUAAAUCAAAGCCUGAGAAACACAAUUCUGUAAUUAAAUAUGUCUGGUUGCAAUCUG